GAAAUGCGAUAAGUAAUGUGAAUUGCAGAAUUCAGUGAAUCAUCGAAUCUUUGAACGCACCUUGCGCUCCUUGGUAUUCCUUGGAGCAUGCCUGUUUGAUUAUCAUGAAAUCUUCAAAGUAAAUCUUUUGUUAACUCAAUUGGUUUCUACUUUGGUAUUGGAGGUCUUUGCAGCUUCACACCUGCUCCUCUUUGUUCAUUAGCUGGAUCUCAGUGUUAUGCUUGGUUCCACUCGGCGUGAUAAGUUAUCUAUCGCUGAGGACACUGUAAAAGGUGGCCAAGGUAAAUGCAGAAGAACCGCUUCUAAUAGUCCAUUGACUUGGACAAUACUUUUAUGAUCUGAUCUCAAAUCAGGUAGGACUACCCGCUGAACUUAAGC
RNAcentral lists this unclassified non-coding RNA (378 nucleotides) under plant metagenome. RNAcentral describes it as "partial contains 5.8S ribosomal RNA, internal transcribed spacer 2, and large subunit ribosomal RNA". The stretch from base 1 to 105 matches the Rfam family "5.8S ribosomal RNA", at positions 50 to 154 of the family's 154-position model. The record is from RNAcentral.